GCAUGGUACUAAAUGGAUGGUACGAAGUGACUAUGAUUCUAUUAUAUCGAUAUAAUUCUGUCCACCACACUUAAAAAUAUAUUUUAUUUUGAUCGCAUUAAUUUCAGGAUCUGUAUAUCAUAUAUAAUAUAUAUAUUAGUUCAUCAAGAUUAACUUUGGCUACAAGUGCAAGCACUACCAAACUUACUAACUCAGUCAGUAGUGCAUACCUGAGAUGCUUGGGUCGUACUUCUAAUUGAACCACGAUGUAAAGGGGAUCCAUGCUUAAGUUUCAACAUUCUGCAAGACAGCCUUGGUGACAAUCGUGUGGAAUUCCCCAUGACAUGUUACACUGUGGCUGGCACUCAGUCACAGAGAGGUCACGCGAACAGCAUCAUUGUAAUGAAGAUGAGUAACCUACGCAAAACACAGAAAGAGAAGAAAGACGACGAAGAAGACGACGAAGAAGAAGAAAGUGAUAGUGAAGAUGAAGAUGAAUUGCCGGAAAUGGAGACUGCACUUGUUAAACAUACUGGAAGUGUCAACAGAAUUCGGACCACUGUGCUAGGAGACAAACACUUUGCAGCUACCUGGUAGGAGAAUGGCAAGGUUUACAUCUGGGAUCUCUCACAUCCAGUAAAUGCCUUCAAUGACUCAAGCGUUAUGACUGUUUACACUCGGAAUGAGGAAUCUCCAGCCCGUGUUUGUAUUCGCAGGUCACCAAAUUGAAGGAUUUGCUCUGGAUUAGUGCAACACAACUGAAGCAUGGGUGUUUGCUUCCUCGGGAGCUGACGAUCAGAUAACAAUAUGGGACCUGUCUGUGGAACCCGAUACCGAGAUGACCGAGUCGUCGGAACCCGAACCCGACGUCCCACCACAGUUACUGUUCAUUCACCAGGGACAGAAAGACAUUAAAGAACUCCACUGGCAUUCUCAGCUGACGGGAGUCAUUCUGAGUUCGGCAAGCAGUGGGUUCAACAUAUUCUGAACGAUCAGUGUGUGAUAAUAAAAAAGAAAACAAAA
RNAcentral lists this unclassified non-coding RNA (1002 nucleotides) under Gigantopelta aegis. Its description in RNAcentral is "glutamate-rich WD repeat-containing protein 1-like, transcript variant X2". The record is from RNAcentral. Lineage: Eukaryota; Metazoa; Mollusca; Gastropoda; Neomphalida; Peltospiridae.